AUGAUGCAGGGCUUGUUUGUCAUACAUAUAUGUAACAUUUAUGGAUGGAUCCUUGAACAGGGCGGCAAGCUCGCAUUGUUUCGAGAAGGAUCUUGUAAUGGUCUUGGCAUAUUAUCGAAGCAUCUCGGUCAGAGGAGUAUGGCAGCAGGUUUUGGAGGAAUGUCAAGGCAUAUAUUUCAGUUCACGGUCGGAAUAAGAGAUAUGAGAUUAGUGGUUGGAGGAACUGAAAUGAUGAAGAGAAAUAGGGAAGAUUAG
This is a non-coding RNA of Vicia faba (fava bean), 255 nucleotides long. Lineage: Eukaryota; Viridiplantae; Streptophyta; Magnoliopsida; Fabales; Fabaceae. The record is from the annotation of a GenBank genome assembly.